Molecule: ribosomal RNA, 998 nt
Filed under: Acinetobacter tjernbergiae
Lineage: Bacteria; Pseudomonadati; Pseudomonadota; Gammaproteobacteria; Moraxellales; Moraxellaceae
Description: bacterial SSU rRNA
Rfam family: Bacterial small subunit ribosomal RNA
Source: RNAcentral
UGCAAGUCGAGCGGAGAUGAGGUGCUUGCACCUUAUCUUAGCGGCGGACGGGUGAGUAAUGCUUAGGAAUCUGCCUAUUAGUGGGGGACAACAUUCCGAAAGGAAUGCUAAUACCGCAUACGCCCUACGGGGGAAAGCAGGGGAUCUUCGGACCUUGCGCUAAUAGAUGAGCCUAAGUCGGAUUAGCUAGUUGGUGGGGUAAAGGCCUACCAAGGCGACGAUCUGUAGCGGGUCUGAGAGGAUGAUCCGCCACACUGGGACUGAGACACGGCCCAGACUCCUACGGGAGGCAGCAGUGGGGAAUAUUGGACAAUGGGCGGAAGCCUGAUCCAGCCAUGCCGCGUGUGUGAAGAAGGCCUUUUGGUUGUAAAGCACUUUAAGCGAGGAGGAGGCUACUUAGAUUAAUACUCUAGGAUAGUGGACGUUACUCGCAGAAUAAGCACCGGCUAACUCUGUGCCAGCAGCCGCGGUAAUACAGAGGGUGCGAGCGUUAAUCGGAUUUACUGGGCGUAAAGCGUGCGUAGGCGGCUGAUUAAGUCGGAUGUGAAAUCCCUGAGCUUAACUUAGGAAUUGCAUUCGAUACUGGUCAGCUAGAGUAUGGGAGAGGAUGGUAGAAUUCCAGGUGUAGCGGUGAAAUGCGUAGAGAUCUGGAGGAAUACCGAUGGCGAAGGCAGCCAUCUGGCCUAAUACUGACGCUGAGGUACGAAAGCAUGGGGAGCAAACAGGAUUAGAUACCCUGGUAGUCCAUGCCGUAAACGAUGUCUACUAGCCGUUGGGGCCUUUGAGGCUUUAGUGGCGCAGCUAACGCGAUAAGUAGACCGCCUGGGGGAGUACGGUCGCAAGACUAAAACUCAAAUGAAUUGACGGGGGCCCGCACAAGCGGUGGAGCAUGUGGGUUUAAUUCGAUGCAACGCGAGAACCUUACCUGGGCCUUGACAUAGUAAGAACUUUCCAGAGAUGGAUUGGUGCCUUCGGGAACUUACAUACAGGUGCUGCAU